This is a non-coding RNA of Kwoniella shivajii, 84 nucleotides long. The record is from the annotation of a RefSeq genome assembly. NCBI's taxonomy places the organism in Eukaryota, Fungi, Basidiomycota, Tremellomycetes, Tremellales, Cryptococcaceae.
GCGUUCUUGGUGUAGUGGUAUCAUGCUCGCUUUGGGUCUCCAAAACUUUGUGAGUGGUCCUCGGUUCAAUCCCGGGAGAGCGCC